GCAGUCAGAGGCGAUGAAGGGCGUGCUAAUCUGCGAUAAGCGCCGGUAAGGUGAUAUGAACCGUUAUAACCGGCGAUACCCGAAUGGGGAAACCCAGUGUGACUCGUCACACUAUCAUUAACUGAAUCCAUAGGUUAAUGAGGCGAACCGGGGGAACUGAAACAUCUAAGUACCCCGAGGAAAAGAAAUCAACCGAGAUUCCCCCAGUAGCGGCGAGCGAACGGGGAGGAGCCCAGAGCCUGAAUCAGCAUGUGUGUUAGUGGAAGCGUCUGGAAAGGCGCGCGAUACAGGGUGACAGCCCCGUACACAAAAGCGCAUGUGCUGUGAGCUCGAUGAGUAGGGCGGGACACGUGGUAUCCUGUCUGAAUAUGGGGGGACCAUCCUCCAAGGCUAAAUACUCCUGACUGACCGAUAGUGAACCAGUACCGUGAGGGAAAGGCGAAAAGAACCCCGGCGAGGGGAGUGAAAAAGAACCUGAAACCGUGUACGUACAAGCAGUGGGAGCCCCACCACCAAAGCAUUUGCUGUACCGCGUUGACGGAGCGAAGCGACGUCAAACCGAUAAAACAGCAGUGUAAAGUGAGCCGCAGGGCGCUUUGCGCGACAGCGCAAAGGCAGGCGGUUUCGCGUAGCGAAAGCGAAUGCUUUGGGGUGGGGUGACUGCGUACCUUUUGUAUAAUGGGUCAGCGACUUAUAUUCUGUAGCAAGGUUAACCGAAUAGGGGAGCCGGAGGGAAACCGAGUCUUAAUUGGGCGUUAAGUUGCAGGGUAUAGACCCGAAACCCGGUGAUCUAGCCAUGGGCAGGUUGAAGGUUGGGUAACACUAACUGGAGGACCGAACCGACUAAUGUUGAAAAAUUAGCGGAUGACCUGUGGCUGGGGGUGAAAGGCCAAUCAAACCGGGAGAUAGCUGGUUCUCCCCGAAAGCUAUUUAGGUAGCGCCUCGUGAAUUCAUCUCCGGGGGUAGAGCACUGUUUCGGCUAGGGGGCCAUCCCGGCUUACCAACCCGAUGCAAACUGCGAAUACCGGAGAAUGUUAUCACGGGAGACACACGGCGGGUGCU
RNAcentral lists this ribosomal RNA (1062 nucleotides) under Salmonella enterica. RNAcentral's name for it is "partial 23S ribosomal RNA". It matches the Rfam family "Bacterial large subunit ribosomal RNA", at positions 36 to 999 of the family's 2925-position model. Lineage: Bacteria; Pseudomonadati; Pseudomonadota; Gammaproteobacteria; Enterobacterales; Enterobacteriaceae. The record is from RNAcentral.